AUGCGGCCCGGGUUUUCGAAUCUUCUAAACAGAACAUACUUCCCUUGUUACAGUCAAUGUACACUCGGAUCCGAUUGCUCCCGCCUCGGUAUUAGGGUUGAAGAUCAGCAAGCGACACCGGAUGGUGGAAAAGCCAACAUAUUCUUUCCAGGGAAGCUUCAUUGGGUAUUUUGGUGAUGCCCAUGGCUAUGGCUCUAUGGAAGUAGUAGCAGUAAUUAGACCCAGGGUCACCAGUCUUUAUUAUCAUCACUGAGAGUCGAUUAUACCUUAUAUUUGAUGUUUUAUGUUGA
Molecule: long non-coding RNA, 290 nt
Organism: Hibiscus syriacus
Lineage: Eukaryota; Viridiplantae; Streptophyta; Magnoliopsida; Malvales; Malvaceae
Exons: 3
Source: RefSeq, a predicted model, not a curated record